This 22-nucleotide microRNA is filed under the name Panax ginseng (ginseng). RNAcentral's name for it is "pgi-miR391". Its record names the gene pgi-miR391. The record is from miRBase by way of RNAcentral. Lineage: Eukaryota; Viridiplantae; Streptophyta; Magnoliopsida; Apiales; Araliaceae.
UGCAGGAGAGAUGACGCCCAUC